RNAcentral lists this ribosomal RNA (253 nucleotides) under uncultured bacterium. Its description in RNAcentral is "partial 16S ribosomal RNA". It matches the Rfam family "Bacterial small subunit ribosomal RNA", at positions 524 to 776 of the family's 1533-position model. The record is from RNAcentral.
UACGGAGGAGGCAAGCGUUAUCCGGAAUUAUUGGGCGUAAAGCGUCCGUAGGUGGCUGGGCAAGUCUGCUGUCAAAGGGUGGGGCUUAACCUCAUAAGGGCAGUGGAAACUGGCGAGCUAGAGUGCGGUAGGGGUAGGGGGAAUUCCAAGUGUAGCGGUGAAAUGCGUAGAGAUUGGGAAGAACAUCGGUGGCGAAAGCGCCCAGCUGGGCCUGCACUGACACUGAGGGACGAAAGCUAGGGGAGCGAAAGGG